GUCCCGCAAGGGCGGCUGCACAGGUGCUGCAUGGCUGUCGUCAGCUCGUGCCGUGAGGUGUUGGGUUAAGUCCCCUAACGAGCGCAACCCCUGGGGUCCGUUACAAGUGGUGUCGGGCCCGACUGCCGCGCGCAACGCGGAGGAAGGCGGGGAUGACGUCAAGUCAGCACGGCCCUUACGUCCAGGGCGACACACACGCUACAAUGGCCGGUACAGU
RNAcentral lists this ribosomal RNA (217 nucleotides) under Thermorudis pharmacophila. RNAcentral describes it as "partial 16S ribosomal RNA". It matches the Rfam family "Bacterial small subunit ribosomal RNA", at positions 1014 to 1243 of the family's 1533-position model. The record is from RNAcentral. Lineage: Bacteria; Pseudomonadati; Thermomicrobiota; Thermomicrobia.